This 253-nucleotide ribosomal RNA is filed under the name uncultured bacterium. Its description in RNAcentral is "partial 16S ribosomal RNA". It matches the Rfam family "Bacterial small subunit ribosomal RNA", at positions 524 to 776 of the family's 1533-position model. The record is from RNAcentral.
UACGGAGGGUGCGAGCGUUGUCCGGAAUCACUGGGCGUAAAGGGCGCGUAGGCGGCGCGAGCAGUCGAUCGUGAAAGUCCGGAGCUCAACUCCGGAUCGGCGGUCGAUACUCUCGUGCUUGAGCACUGUAGAGGCAGAUGGAAUUCCGGGUGUAGCGGUGGAAUGCGUAGAGAUCCGGAGGAACACCGAAAGCGAAGGCAGUCUCCUGGCAAGUUUCUGACGCUCAGGUGCGAAAGCUAGGGGAGCGAACAGG